CAAAAGCGGUGAUGAUCAUGACAUAAUGUCAUUUUCCUGAAAAAGAAUGAUGCUUUUAAGUCACUACCUCAUCUGAGCUUACA
Molecule: small nucleolar RNA, 83 nt
Organism: Scomber japonicus (chub mackerel)
Lineage: Eukaryota; Metazoa; Chordata; Actinopteri; Scombriformes; Scombridae
Product: small nucleolar RNA SNORD11B
Exons: 1
Source: RefSeq, a predicted model, not a curated record